AGGAGCGGAUCUAGGUGUAUGGA
Molecule: non-coding RNA, 23 nt
Filed under: Arabidopsis thaliana (thale cress)
Lineage: Eukaryota; Viridiplantae; Streptophyta; Magnoliopsida; Brassicales; Brassicaceae
Source: RNAcentral